UAAGAACUGUAUUUUCCCCCAAGCAUUUGGCGAUCUAAAACUCCCUAGCUUACGAGACACAGUUAUAUUGAGCAUAUGGCUGACUCCGAUCACAAGGACGCGAUGGACAAAGCGACCCAUGCCAAGUCCGUCCCUCAACAACAGUUUUAUAGGACUUCCCCGAACAACUCAGCGGGAACUUAUCCUCCACCAAAUGCCCCGAAUAAAGAACCGGUUGCCGGUGCGAUGAGUACUGGAUCACAGCCUUCACUAAAGAACGAUGAGAACCCUGCACCUUCUGGCACGGAGUAAGUGUAACAAUUCUAUAAGACGAAGGAUCCACAUACACAAGUAUGUCAUGACAUGGACAUGAGAACAAGCAUCCGAGCUUCAACUGGCAUACUAUAUAUCUAAAAUAAUAUGUAUUAUGUAGCAAUUUGUUUUGAUUUGUGUAGCUAUGAGGUGCAAUUAGAAAAAUGGAUAACAAUUUGAUACAUCUAGUGGUUUGUAGUUGCAUAUUGGUGUUGUGUUGAAUAUGUGAGUUCAUGUGUAAGUUUUGAUAUAUCAAGUUCACAUAUAUGUAUAUUAAGAUUUUGAGAUUCUAUUAAGUAUUUGAUUUUGUGUGUA
Long non-coding RNA from Aegilops tauschii subsp. strangulata, 606 nucleotides. RefSeq lists it as uncharacterized. NCBI's taxonomy places the organism in Eukaryota, Viridiplantae, Streptophyta, Magnoliopsida, Poales, Poaceae. The record is from RefSeq and is a predicted model, not a curated record.